This 1340-nucleotide ribosomal RNA is filed under the name uncultured bacterium. RNAcentral's name for it is "bacterial SSU rRNA". It matches the Rfam family "Bacterial small subunit ribosomal RNA", at positions 28 to 1387 of the family's 1533-position model. The record is from RNAcentral.
GACGAACGCUGGCGGCGCGCCUAACACAUGCAAGUCGAACGAGAGAUGAGGAGCUUGCUCUUCAAAUCGAGUGGCGAACGGGUGAGUAACGCGUGAGGAACCUGCCUCAAAGAGGGGGACAACAGUUGGAAACGACUGCUAAUACCGCAUAAGCCCACGGCUCGGCAUCGAGCAGAGGGAAAAGGAGCAAUCCGCUUUGAGAUGGCCUCGCGUCCGAUUAGCUAGUUGGUGAGGUAACGGCCCACCAAGGCGACGAUCGGUAGCCGGACUGAGAGGUUGAACGGCCACAUUGGGACUGAGACACGGCCCAGACUCCUACGGGAGGCAGCAGUGGGGAAUAUUGCACAAUGGGGGAAACCCUGAUGCAGCGACGCCGCGUGGAGGAAGAAGGUCUUCGGAUUGUAAACUCCUGUUGUUGAGGAAGAUAAUGACGGUACUCAACAAGGAAGUGACGGCUAACUACGUGCCAGCAGCCGCGGUAAAACGUAGGUCACAAGCGUUGUCCGGAAUUACUGGGUGUAAAGGGAGCGCAGGCGGGAGAACAAGUUGGAAGUGAAAUCCAUGGGCUCAACCCAUGAACUGCUUUCAAAACUGUUUUUCUUGAGUAGUGCAGAGGUAGGCGGAAUUCCCGGUGUAGCGGUGGAAUGCGUAGAUAUCGGGAGGAACACCAGUGGCGAAGGCGGCCUACUGGGCACCAACUGACGCUGAGGCUCGAAAGUGUGGGUAGCAAAUCAAGAGUUAGAUACCCCGGUAGUCCACACCGUAAACGAUGAUUACUAGGUGUUGGAGGAUUGACCCCUUCAGUGCCGCAGUUAACACAAUAAGUAAUCCACCUGGGGAGUACGACCACAAGGUUGAAACUCAAAGGAAUUGACGGGGGCCCGCACAAGCAGUGGAGUAUGUGGUUUAAUUCGACGCAACGCGAAGAACCUUACCAAGUCUUGACAUCCUGCGACGCACAUAGAAAUAUGUGUUUCCUUCGGGACGCAGAGACAGGUGGUGCAUGGUUGUCGUCAGCUCGUGUCGUGAGAUGUUGGGUUAAGUCCCGCAACGAGCGCAACCCUUAUGGUCAGUUACUACGCAAGAGGACUCUGGCCAGACUGCCGUUGACAAAACGGAGGAAGGUGGGGAGGACGUCAAAUCAUCAUGCCCUUUAUGACUUGGGCUACACACGUACUACAAUGGCGUUAAACAAAGAGAAGCAAGACCGCGAGGUGGAGCAAAACUCAGAAACAACGUCCCAGUUCGGACUGCAGGCUGCAACUCGCCUGCACGAAGUCGGAAUUGCUAGUAAUCGUGGAUCAGCAUGCCACGGUGAAUAAAAUCCCGGGCCUUGUACA